UUAAAUUGAAGAGUUUGAUCAUGGCUCAGAUUGAACGCUGGCGGCAGGCCUAACACAUGCAAGUCGAACGGUAACAGGAAACAGCUUGCUGUUUCGCUGACGAGUGGCGGACGGGUGAGUAAUGUCUGGGAAACUGCCUGAUGGAGGGGGAUAACUACUGGAAACGGUAGCUAAUACCGCAUAACGUCGCAAGACCAAAGAGGGGGACCUUCGGGCCUCUUGCCAUCGGAUGUGCCCAGAUGGGAUUAGCUAGUAGGUGGGGUAACGGCUCACCUAGGCGACGAUCCCUAGCUGGUCUGAGAGGAUGACCAGCCACACUGGAACUGAGACACGGUCCAGACUCCUACGGGAGG
RNAcentral lists this ribosomal RNA (353 nucleotides) under Escherichia coli. RNAcentral describes it as "bacterial SSU rRNA". It matches the Rfam family "Bacterial small subunit ribosomal RNA", at positions 1 to 348 of the family's 1533-position model. The record is from RNAcentral. Lineage: Bacteria; Pseudomonadati; Pseudomonadota; Gammaproteobacteria; Enterobacterales; Enterobacteriaceae.